RNAcentral lists this ribosomal RNA (253 nucleotides) under uncultured bacterium. Its description in RNAcentral is "partial 16S ribosomal RNA". It matches the Rfam family "Bacterial small subunit ribosomal RNA", at positions 524 to 776 of the family's 1533-position model. The record is from RNAcentral.
UACGAGGGGGGCGAGCGUUGUUCGGAAUUACUGGGCGUAAAGCGCGUGUAGGCGGCAACGCAAGUCGGGCGUGAAAUCCCACGGCUCAACCGUGGAAGUGCACUCGAAACUGCGUAGCUAGAGUCCUGGAGAGGAAGGUGGAAUGCUUGGUGUAGAGGUGAAAUUCGUAGAUAUCAAGCGGAACACCGGUGGCGAAGGCGGCCUUCUGGACAGUGACUGACGCUGAGACGCGAAAGCGUGGGGAGCAAACAGG